Molecule: ribosomal RNA, 165 nt
Filed under: uncultured bacterium
Lineage: Bacteria
Description: partial 16S rRNA
Rfam family: Bacterial small subunit ribosomal RNA
Source: RNAcentral
UAGGGAAUCUUCGGCAAUGGACGAAAGUCUGACCGAGCAACGCCGCGUGAGUGAAGAAGGUUUUCGGAUCGUAAAACUCUGUUGGUAGAGAAGAACGUUGGUGAGAGUGGAAAGCUCAUCAAGUGACGGUAACUACCCAGAAAGGAACGGCUAACUACGUGCCAG